GGCACUGCUUUGGGCAAUUUACCUCCGUUGCUGAGUUUUCUUGGCAUCUCCUGGUAUGCUGCAUCUCUGCAUGUGCCACACCCUAGUCCAGACCCUGACCCACACAGUGCUGGGGUUUAAGGGAGGCCUGCUUUUUUCUCUCCAUUUACAGAUGGGAAAGCUGACAUAAACGGGUAGGUGGUAGAGGUGGGAUUUGAACCCAGGUAACCUAACUCCAAACUUCUGCAUCUUGUCAUAAGGAUCCAAAUCUUAGGCUUUAAGGGGUUCUGUGCAGAUCCUCAGCAGCCUCCCCAGCUUCAGAUCCGGCCUCCUGAGCUCCAGUCUCUCUGAUACCUGCACCCAGGCUCAGGUGCAGGCCAGAGCUCACCUGACUCUGGUGAGCUGCUCUGCCCUACACCGGGAUUGCAGCACACAUCACAUGGCGCUGUCAUUGUCAGAUCCAUCUCUGUGUCCCCACACCCAGCCUGACACAUGGAGCCUGGGAUACAAUAGAUGCUCAAACCGUUGGAGACACGCACAGCAACUUGGGGUAGGGAAGAGAGUCUGGAUGGGAGACAUCAGACAUCACUAUGUCAUGGAGAACCCCCUGCAACUGCAUAAAGGGACUAACAAUUUGUACCUGGCCUUCGUGAGACCCCUGGAGGGAACUGCCACUGGCGCUGGUUUCGUAGCAAGAAUAUACCUCAAAUGACCAAACAGGAAUGAAAAACUUCAGAUGGUUUAGGUGCCAGUGGCUUCCGAAUAAAACAGCAUUCUUGAAGUGAACAGCUGAUGAGGACAUGAAAUAUUAUGCCAAAGCUGGCAUCACACUGUUCUUUUUCCUGGAUGAAAAUCUCUCUGAGAAGCAUUUGCUCUUAACUUUGGUGUCCUGGGGACUGCUGCCUUAUCCCAGGAAGCCACCCAGAGUCUUGGAUGUGUGGGAUCCUUAGGACUUCAUGGUAAACCUGCUCUAGUCCCUCGGGUUAGUAAAAUGAAGCCCAGGACAUCUGAGAGCCCCCAGCACUUCCAUAGAAAUGGACCAAAAUCCCUUCUCCCAGGGGGAGAAACCUGGAAUAAGCUCAAGAGGACAGACGGCUAAAUUUUCAAGAAUCGUGUGAGCUGCUGUUAAACAAGCCAUUAUUAAAACUUUAAUUGUGUAAACUUACAAUUAGGUCAGUUAUAUUAAAAGUAAAAGUGAUACAUACCCCAAACUCAUCUCUUUCAAGUUAUUUUACUAUAUUUUACUGUUUUCUAUAGGCUUGAAGUUAUUUACAUCUACUGUAAGUGUGGGGGUGGAAAUUCAAUAUAAUGACACGCUACCAAGCACCUCUUCUCAACUUGGUGUUUAGUGACCUCACCAAGGUAGCUUCAAACAGGCUGUGAUGGGAGUAUUUACACCUCAGAAAUUAGCAAAUGCUAUUAAUUAGGGCUCUUUUCCCCCCAGAGACCCUGGUAUUAAGCAUUUAUUAGCACCUGGGCACAGUGGCUCACGCCUGUAAUCCCAGCACUUUGGGA
This 1494-nucleotide long non-coding RNA is filed under the name Homo sapiens (human). Its description in RNAcentral is "HSALNT0354488". Lineage: Eukaryota; Metazoa; Chordata; Mammalia; Primates; Hominidae. The record is from RNAcentral.